This 500-nucleotide ribosomal RNA is filed under the name uncultured bacterium. RNAcentral describes it as "partial 16S ribosomal RNA". It matches the Rfam family "Bacterial small subunit ribosomal RNA", at positions 30 to 523 of the family's 1533-position model. The record is from RNAcentral.
AUUGAACGCUGGCGGAAUGCUUUACACAUGCAAGUCGAACGGCAGCACGGACUUCGGUCUGGUGGCGAGUGGCGAACGGGUGAGUAAUGUAUCGGAACGUGCCCAGUCGUGGGGGAUAACGUAGUGAAAAUUACGCUAAUACCGCAUACGAUCUAUGGAUGAAAGCGGGGGAUCGCAAGACCUCGCGCGAUUGGAGCGGCCGAUAUCAGAUUAGGUAGUUGGUGGGGUAAAGGCCCACCAAGCCAACGAUCUGUAGGUGGUCCGAGAGGACGACCAGCCACACUGGAACUGAGACACGGUCCAGACUCCUACGGGAGGCAGCAGUGGGGAAUUUUGGACAAUGGGCGAAAGCCUGAUCCAGCCAUUCCGCGUGCAGGAUGAAGGCCCUCGGGUUGUAAACUGCUUUUGUACAGAACGAAAAGGUUUCUACUAAUACUAGGAGCUCAUGACGGUACUGUAAGAAUAAGCACCGGCUAACUACGUGCCAGCCGCCGCAGUAA